AGACGUAGGGGGCGAGCGUUGUCCGGAAUUACUGGGCGUAAAGAGCACGUAGGCGGAUAUUUAAGUCAGGUGUGAAAGACCGCAGCUCAACUGCGGGGUUGCACCUGAAACUGGGUAUCUUGAGGGCAGGAGAGGGAAGUGGAAUUCCUGGUGUAGCGGUGAAAUGCGUAGAAAUCAGGAGGAACACCAGUGGCGAAGGCGACUUUCUGGACUGACCCUGACGCUGAGGUGCGAAAGCGUGGGUAGCAAACAGGAUUAGAUACCCUGGUAGUCCACGCCGUAAACGGUGAACACUAGGUGUGGGAGGUGUAAUACCUUCCGUGCCGUAGCUAACGCGUUAAGUGUUCCGCCUGGGAAGUACGGCCGCAAGGUUGAA
This 376-nucleotide ribosomal RNA is filed under the name uncultured bacterium. Its description in RNAcentral is "bacterial SSU rRNA". It matches the Rfam family "Bacterial small subunit ribosomal RNA", at positions 523 to 898 of the family's 1533-position model. The record is from RNAcentral.